UCUUCCGUGCAAACUGUGCAAACUCUAAUCCGGACCGCAGGAUGUUGAUCCAAAGGAGCGCAUGAGAGAGGUGGAACGGAUCUAGUGCAAACUCAUCUUCCGUGCAAACUGUGCAAACUCUAAUCUGGACCGCAGGAUGUUGAUCCAAAGGAGCGCAUGAGAGAGGUGGAAGGAGAGAUUUGUAAAAGUGUGAUUAAGAGCGGGCGGUUAAGUGCAAAAUUACCAAUCUCUCCGUGCUCCUUGGAUCAACAUCAUGUGGUCCAGAUUAGAGUUUGCACAGUUUAACGGAAGAUGAGUUUGCACUAGAUCCGUUGCCUAGAUAAAUAUAUAAUAACCAUGACACAAAAUUAAGACCAAUUUGGUACAACUUCAUCAACAAUUUCAAGAGCUGUUGUAAGCUGUUUUUUACCGAAGACCCCUUUUCAAAAAAACUCAUCAUGAACUAAGCUUUCUUUUUUUAUGCUCUCGAAAAGAAAUUGAGGAGAUAUGAAGCUGAAAAAAUAGCUUUUCACAUCUCUCUCCCAUAUUUUCCUCUCUCAGCCAUGUAUAAAGCUAUUUUGCCAACCAAUUUUUUUCAAAACGGUUCAGUUUCACCAAGAAAACAUUUCAUGAAGCUAUUUUCUAUAAAAUAAUUUCACUGGUGAAGCUGUGCCAUGUCAAAUGAGGCAUUACUAUCCACCUCAGGUAUUUUUUUGGGGACAAUAAUAAUCGUAGACAAAUUCACACGCACACUCUGCAUACGCAAGCCCAACACUCUCAUAGUUGCACACCUCGGCCCAGGAACGUACCCAAAUCCAGUGACGGACGGACGGGGGGGGGGGGGGGCUGGGGGGGCUGCAGCCCCCCUCGUGGGCCGAAAACGCUUGGAGCAAAUCUUCAUCAGGCCCAAAAGUUUGUGACCUAAAAAAAACUCACUCGACGCCAGUCCACACGCACGCGACCCCGACGCUCGCCCGCUCUGCGCCCGACGCCCGACCCCUCCCCUCUCCACGCGCUCCUCCACUCCACCGUCUCCAGUCUCCACUGCGCCGCGCCGCCGCCCGCCGGGACAGCCAGCGACUCAGCGAGGAUCGAGGCCUCGGCCCUCGAGGGAGGCCAGCGGC
RNAcentral lists this long non-coding RNA (1103 nucleotides) under Sorghum bicolor (sorghum). Its description in RNAcentral is "long non-coding RNA (SBIC_LNC009727)". The record is from RNAcentral. Lineage: Eukaryota; Viridiplantae; Streptophyta; Magnoliopsida; Poales; Poaceae.